This 226-nucleotide unclassified non-coding RNA is filed under the name uncultured Crepidotus. RNAcentral describes it as "sequence contains ITS2". Lineage: Eukaryota; Fungi; Basidiomycota; Agaricomycetes; Agaricales; Crepidotaceae. The record is from RNAcentral.
AAUUCUCAACCUUACCAGCUUUGUUGUUGGUCUGGCUUGGAUGUGGGGGGUUUUUGCAGGCUUUAACAAGUCAGCUCCCCUGAAAUGUAUUAGCGGUACCCUUGUGGUAAACGGCUAUUGGUGUGAUAAUUAUCUACGCCAUUCAGUCGCCCACAUUCUUUUUAACCAAAGAAAGGGGGUUAUGCUGCUUCAAACAGUCCAUUGACUUGGACAAUAGAAAUGACAA